AUGGUAAAGUUGAAGUUCCGCAUGGUCUCCUUGGGUACCAUUAUACCUUUCCUGGAUCCCUGUCACCGCCCUCGACAUGAAGGAUGCAUAUUUCCACAUAGCAAUCCAUCCGGCACACAGAUGCUUCCUCUGCUUUGUGGUCAACCGCGAACACUACCAGUUCACGGUCCUUCUGGUUGGCCUUUCCACAGCCCCCCGGGUGUUCACCAACUGUUUGGCAGUCGUGGCAGCCUCCCUUCGUCAGAGACGGAUACAGGUAUACCUGUAUCUCGACGACUGGCUCAUCCAAGGUCGCAGCAAAGAACAGGUGCAAUCCCACGUUCAAGUGGUCACGGACAUGUUUUCUCAAUUAGGUCUUCUCAUCAAUGCAGCGAAGUCGACUCUAGAACCAACCCAGAGAAUAGAAUUCAUCAGGGGCAUCCUAGAUUCCGUGCGUGCCUCAGCCCUCCUGCCGGACGCUCAUUUCCACGCUCUGACGGGCCUCAUCUGGAGCCUUCAAAGCUUCCCAACCUCGACGCCAAGAACAUGCCUGAGUCUCCUGGUCAUAUGGCUUCCUGCACAUACGUGACCAGACAUGCCAGACUUCGGCUACGACCGCUGCAGGCCUGGCUGGCAUCUGUCUACCGCCCAGGUCAAGACAGCCUGAACCUGGUGGUCACUGUUCCAGAAGGGGUCCUGGCCUCCCUCCAAUGGUGGCUAGACCCAAGGGUGGCAUGUGAAGGAGUCCCCUUCCACACCCCUCAGUCCUCCUUGUCCCUCGUCACGGACAUGUCAGCCCUGGGAUGGGGCGCUCACCUCGGGGACAUCUGGACGCAAGGCCUAUGGGUCCUAUCCGAUCUCUGUCCAUAUCAACGUACGGGAGCUGAUGGCGGUGCGUCUUGCGUGCCAAGCCUUUCAGGAGCGAUUGCACGGUCGUUGUGUGGCGGUCCUCACAGACAACACCACGGCCAUGUUCUAUAUCAACAAGCAAGGGGGGGCUCGUUCCUGCCCCCUCUGUCAAGAGGCCAUUCAACUCUGGGAGUUCUGCAUAGCCCAUUCCAUUCACCUGCUGGUGUCGUUUCUCCCAGGGGUCAAGAACACGUUGGCGGACCACCUCAGCAGCUCCUUCCAGUCCCAUGA
Molecule: long non-coding RNA, 1119 nt
Filed under: Chrysemys picta bellii (western painted turtle)
Lineage: Eukaryota; Metazoa; Chordata; Testudines; Emydidae
Description: lncRNA (ENSCPBG00000012074.1)
Source: RNAcentral